Molecule: ribosomal RNA, 495 nt
Filed under: uncultured bacterium
Lineage: Bacteria
Description: partial 16S ribosomal RNA
Rfam family: Bacterial small subunit ribosomal RNA
Source: RNAcentral
GACGAACGCUGGCGGCGUGCCUAAUACAUGCAAGUAGAACGCUGAAGGAGGAGCUUGCUCUUCUGGAUGAGUUGCGAACGGGUGAGUAACGCGUAGGUAACCUGCCUGGUAGCGGGGGAUAACUAUUGGAAACGAUAGCUAAUACCGCAUAAGAGUAGAUGUUGCAUGACAUUUACUUAAAAGGUGCAAUUGCAUCACUACCAGAUGGACCUGCGUUGUAUUAGCUAGUUGGUGGGGUAACGACUUACCAAGGCGACGAUACAUAGCCGACCUGAGAGGGGGAUCGGCCACCCUGGGACUGGGACACGGCCCAGACUCCUACGGGAGGCAGCAGUAGGGGAUCUUCGGCAAUGGACGGAAGUCUGACCGAGCAACGCCGCGUGAGUGAAGAAGGUUUUCGGAUCGUAAAGCUCUGUUGUAAGAGAAGAACGAGUGUGAGAGUGGAAAGUUCACACUGUGACGGUAGCUUACCAGAAAGGGACGGCUAACUACGUG